RNAcentral lists this ribosomal RNA (1488 nucleotides) under Lactiplantibacillus plantarum. Its description in RNAcentral is "bacterial SSU rRNA". It matches the Rfam family "Bacterial small subunit ribosomal RNA". The record is from RNAcentral. Lineage: Bacteria; Bacillati; Bacillota; Bacilli; Lactobacillales; Lactobacillaceae.
UGCCUAUACAUGCAAGUCGAACGAACUCUGGGUAUUGAUUGGUGCUUGCAUCAUGAUUUACAUUUGAGUGAGUGGCGAACUGGUGAGUAACACGUGGGAAACCUGCCCAGAAGCGGGGGAUAACACCUGGAAACAGAUGCUAAUACCGCAUAACAACUUGGACCGCAUGGUCCGAGCUUGAAAGAUGGCUUCGGCUAUCACUUUUGGAUGGUCCCGCGGCGUAUUAGCUAGAUGGUGGGGUAACGGCUCACCAUGGCAAUGAUACGUAGCCGACCUGAGAGGGUAAUCGGCCACAUUGGGACUGAGNACACGGCCCAAACUCCUACGGGAGGCAGCAGUAGGGAAUCUUCCACAAUGGACGAAAGUCUGAUGGAGCAACGCCGCGUGAGUGAAGAAGGGUUUCGGCUCGUAAAACUCUGUUGUUAAAGAAGAACAUAUCUGAGAGUAACUGUUCAGGUAUUGACGGUAUUUAACCAGAAAGCCACGGCUAACUACGUGCCAGCAGCCGCGGUAAUACGUAGGUGGCAAGCGUUGUCCGGAUUUAUUGGGCGUAAAGCGAGCGCAGGCGGUUUUUUAAGUCUGAUGUGAAAGCCUUCGGCUCAACCGAAGAAGUGCAUCGGAAACUGGGAAACUUGAGUGCAGAAGAGGACAGUGGAACUCCAUGUGUAGCGGUGAAAUGCGUAGAUAUAUGGAAGAACACCAGUGGCGAAGGCGGCUGUCUGGUCUGUAACUGACGCUGAGGCUCGAAAGUAUGGGUAGCAAACAGGAUUAGAUACCCUGGUAGUCCAUACCGUAAACGAUGAAUGCUAAGUGUUGGAGGGUUUCCGCCCUUCAGUGCUGCAGCUAACGCAUUAAGCAUUCCGCCUGGGGAGUACGGCCGCAAGGCUGAAACUCAAAGGAAUUGACGGGGGCCCGCACAAGCGGUGGAGCAUGUGGUUUAAUUCGAAGCUACGCGAAGAACCUUACCAGGUCUUGACAUACUAUGCAAAUCUAAAAGAUUAGACGUUCCCUUCGGGGACAUGGAUACAGGUGGUGCAUGGUUGCCGUCAGCUCGUGUCCUGAGAUGUUGGGUUAAGUCCCGCAACCAGCGCAACCCUUAUUAUCAGUUGCCACCAUUAAGUUGGGCACUCUGGUGAGACUGCCGGUGACAAACCGAAGGAAGGUGGGGAUGANCGUCAAAUCAUCAUGCCCCUUAUAACCUGGGCUACACACCUGCUACAAUGGAGGGUACAACGAGUUGCGAACUCGCGAGAGUAAGCUAAUCUCUUAAAGCCAUUCUCAGUUCGGAUUGUAGGCUGCAACUCGCCUACAUGAAGUCGGAAUCGCUAGUAAUCGCGGAUCAGCAUGCCGCGGUGAAUACGUUCCCGGGCCUUGUACACACCGCCCGUCACACCAUGAGAGUUUGUAACACCCAAAGUCGGUGGGGUAACCUUUUAGGAACCAGCCGCCUAAGGUGGGACAGAUGAUUAGGGUGAAGUCGNACAAGUG